RNAcentral lists this ribosomal RNA (465 nucleotides) under uncultured bacterium. RNAcentral describes it as "partial 16S ribosomal RNA". It matches the Rfam family "Bacterial small subunit ribosomal RNA", at positions 28 to 507 of the family's 1533-position model. The record is from RNAcentral.
GACGAACGCUGGCGGCGUGCUUAACACAUGCAAGUCGUACGGUAAGGCCCUUUCGGGGGUCCACGAGUGGCGAACGGGUGAGUAACACGUGAGUAACCUGCCCACAACUUUGGGAUAACGCUAGGAAACUGGUGCUAAUACUGGAUAUGUGCUCCUGCUGCAUGGUGGGGGUUGGAAAGCUCCGGCGGUUGUGGAUGGACUCGCGGCCUAUCAGCUUGUUGGUGGGGUAGUGGCCUACCAAGGCGGCGACGGGUAGCCGGCCUGAGAGGGUGACCGGCCACAUUGGGACUGAGAUACGGCCCAGACUCCUACGGGAGGCAGCAGUGGGGAAUAUUGCACAAUGGGCGCAAGCCUGAUGCAGCAACGCCGCGUGCGGGAUGACGGCCUUCGGGUUGUAAACCGCUUUCAGCAGGGACGAAGCUUUUUGUGACGGUACCUGCAGAAGAAGUACCGGCUAACUACGUG